CCUACGGGUGGCAGCAGUGGGGAAUAUUGCACAAUGGGCGCAAGCCUGAUGCAGCCAUGCCGCGUGUGUGAAGAAGGCCUUCGGGUUGUAAAGCACUUUCAGCGGGGAGGAAGGCGUUAAGGUUAAUAACCUUGUCGAUUGACGUUACCCGCAGAAGAAGCACCGGCUAACUCCGUGCCAGCAGCCGCGGUAAUACGGAGGGUGCAAGCGUUAAUCGGAAUUACUGGGCGUAAAGCGCACGCAGGCGGUCUGUCAAGUCGGAUGUGAAAUCCCCGGGCUCAACCUGGGAACUGCAUUCGAAACUGGCAGGCUAGAGUCUUGUAGAGGGGGGUAGAAUUCCAGGUGUAGCGGUGAAAUGCGUAGAGAUCUGGAGGAAUACCGGUGGCGAAGGCGGCCCCCUGGACAAAGACUGACGCUCAGGUGCGAAAGCGUGGGGAGCAAACAGGAUUAGUACCCGAUAGUC
RNAcentral lists this ribosomal RNA (463 nucleotides) under uncultured Klebsiella sp. RNAcentral's name for it is "bacterial SSU rRNA". It matches the Rfam family "Bacterial small subunit ribosomal RNA", at positions 338 to 795 of the family's 1533-position model. The record is from RNAcentral. Lineage: Bacteria; Pseudomonadati; Pseudomonadota; Gammaproteobacteria; Enterobacterales; Enterobacteriaceae.